RNAcentral lists this ribosomal RNA (267 nucleotides) under Triticum aestivum (bread wheat). Its description in RNAcentral is "partial small subunit ribosomal RNA". The record is from RNAcentral. Lineage: Eukaryota; Viridiplantae; Streptophyta; Magnoliopsida; Poales; Poaceae.
AAUAAUAUUAACAUUUUGUGCUGGAAUGUGCGAGGCCUAAAUGAUAAGGCUCGUCGUUCCACUAUUAGAGAUACGGUCGUUGCGUCUCAGGUGUCUAUUGUUUGUCUUCAAGAAACUAAAAUUGAGGUCUUUUCUCCUUAUAUGGUUGCGCAAUGUCUUGGACCUUCCUUAGAUGAAUUUCGUUUUCUACCCGCGGAUGGGACUAGGGGGGAGGGGGGGGGGGAGGGGGAUUCUUAUUGCUUGGGACUCUUCGAAGGUCGAGGGUGA